Molecule: ribosomal RNA, 379 nt
Filed under: uncultured eukaryote
Lineage: Eukaryota
Description: partial 18S ribosomal RNA
Rfam family: Eukaryotic small subunit ribosomal RNA
Source: RNAcentral
CAAUAGCGUAUAUUAAAGUUGUUGCGGUUAAAAAGCUCGUAGUUGGAUUUCUGCUUUGCGAGGCCGGUCACCACUACGUGGUUGUAUCUGGUUCUAGCAGGGCAUCCUCGUCAAAAUGCUUACUGUGCUUGAUUGCAUGGUGGUGUGUUGGCGACUUUUACUUUGAGGAAAUUAGAGUGUUCACGGCAGGCAAUCGCCCUGAAUAUAUUAGCAUGGAAUAAUAAUAUAGGAUCUGAUGCCUAUUUUGUUGGUUUCUAGGUGUUAGAUAAUGAUUAAUAGGGACAAUUGGGGGCAUUCGUAUUAAGGCGUCAGAGGUGGAAUUCUUGGAUUGCCUUACGACGAACUACUGCGAAAGCAUUUGCCAAGGAUGUUUNCAUUG